RNAcentral lists this long non-coding RNA (990 nucleotides) under Marmota monax (woodchuck). Lineage: Eukaryota; Metazoa; Chordata; Mammalia; Rodentia; Sciuridae. The record is from RNAcentral.
CAACCAAAAGCCAAAAUUUUCAGCCCCAGCCAUGUUGAUUUAUCCCUCAGAACUACUCAGUGAGAAUUAAAGUAGCAUUCAACAAUAAGCUUGGGUUUGGGGGUCAAAUAGACCAUAAUCAGAGUCUCCUUUUCUCCGUUCAGAAGCAACCAGCCUCAGGAGUGGGUCUGAAGCUCCCCGCCCAUUUUCUCAUCAGCAAGAUGAAGCAGUGUCGUCUACUCCACAGCGUUGUUAUGAGGACUGGAGAUAAAUAACUUCCCUAUUAGAAUGCUUUGCACAUAGCUAUUACUAGAAAAAUUAUUGUAACUACUAUUUAACUUAUUGCCCCUAAUUGGGGGCUGUUCAGGAUUAACAUAGUACCAGAAUUUAAUCACUCUGGAGAGGAUGCCAGGUAUAAAGAUCAAAUCAUUCUGCCUUUCUGCCAUCUCAUCUGUGUCUGGCAAUAACUUGGCCUAACCACUCUAUUCUGCCCUAUUUUCCAGCUCAUUUUGAGGGUUUUUGUUUUGUUUUGUUUUGUUGACAAUGAACACAAUAUUUGGUGGUUUCUCUGGUGUUAUUGCCCUUCUAGGCCAUACUGGUUUCCUUCAAUUAUUCUCUGGGGCAAGGAUGACUAGAUAAUCCUUGAUAUUCUCUCAUUCCUCUCCCAUUUCUGCUUCCAUGUAAUUACCAAAUCCAUCUCUCACAAGCACGUUACUGAAGCUUAAUAAAAACAGAGAACUUUGCCAUCAUCAAUGGUAUUUGCUCAGCUAAGCAAACAAGCCUGUUUGAUAAGCCCAGAACCUUCUGUCCCUUUUCCCUCCUUGCCAGAGUCCCAGUGUCCUAGAGUUUGGACUAGCCCAAAAUUCAUUGCUCAGAUCCCCUGGUCUUCCAUAGAACUUCAUCACAGUAACUAACUUCAGCAGAACAAUUCUGACAAUGUACUUUUGCACACUCAAAAUGGAUCUCAACCGGUGCUAGAAGAGAGGUAUGGUUAUACACGAGUAAACAGAG